CAUUGUUGCCGCCACAAGUAAACCAGUCCCUUGCUUCUGUGCCACCAAUGAACCCAGCUGCCACAUUACCAAGUCUGAUGCCUUUGUCAGCAGGGCUGCCUAGCCUCCCCAACCUCCCCAGCCUCUCCAACUUCAACCUCCCUGCUCCGCACAUCAUGCCAGGGGUCGGCUUGCCAGAGCUCGGGAAGCCGGGUAUGUUGCAUGCCUUACCCUCCUAAGACAUUGCUAAUAAAAAAAAAAAAUUUAUUCAGG
RNAcentral lists this long non-coding RNA (252 nucleotides) under Rattus norvegicus (Norway rat). RNAcentral's name for it is "long non-coding RNA NONRATT018236". Lineage: Eukaryota; Metazoa; Chordata; Mammalia; Rodentia; Muridae. The record is from RNAcentral.